Molecule: ribosomal RNA, 446 nt
Filed under: uncultured bacterium
Lineage: Bacteria
Description: partial 16S ribosomal RNA
Rfam family: Bacterial small subunit ribosomal RNA
Source: RNAcentral
CCUACGGGUGGCAGCAGUCGAGAAUCAUUCACAAUGGGGGAAACCCUGAUGGUGCGACGCCGCGUGGGGGAAUGAAGGUCUUCGGAUUGUAAACCCCUGUCAUGUGGGAGCAAAUUAAAAAGAUAGUACCACAAGAGGAAGAGACGGCUAACUCUGUGCCAGCAGCCGCGGUAAUACAGAGGUCUCAAGCGUUGUUCGGAAUCACUGGGCGUAAAGCGUGCGUAGGCUGUUUCAUAAGUCGUGUGUGAAAGGCGCGGGCUCAACCCGCGGACGGCACAUGAUACUGCGAGACUAGAGUAAGGGAGGGGGAACCGGAAUUCUCGGUGUAGCAGUGAAAUGCGUAGAUAUCGAGAGGAACACUCGUGGCGAAGGCGGGUUCCUGGACAUUAACUGACGCUGAGGCACGAAGGCCAGGGGAGCGAAAGGGAUUAGAUACCCUUGUAGUC